Molecule: long non-coding RNA, 1087 nt
Organism: Xenopus laevis (African clawed frog)
Lineage: Eukaryota; Metazoa; Chordata; Amphibia; Anura; Pipidae
Exons: 4
Source: RefSeq, a predicted model, not a curated record
AGUGAGUGCACUUAUUAGACUGUUUGUUAGAAUGUUGUCCACAGAUCAUUAGGCUAUUCUUAUAUAUAAAAGAAAAUUGUGCUCACCCCUAAUUUUUCUUUGGCCUGUGCUGUGUAUAUACUGACAACCUACAGGCAACACAGUCAGAGUGUGCCAGCAGACUUGGGGUUAAAGGAGAAGCAAAUAGUUUUUUUUCCAAAAAGUUCAGCACUUCUCGACACAACGGUGUUUUGAGCUCCCGGUGGAGCCUUCUUAUUUUGUUUCUUCCCUGUUCUCUGUAAAAUGGCAGAAAUUGGCACAGUGGGCACCAAAUGAACUGCGUUUCAAUUAUUACAGUUUCCUUCAGCGAGAAACAGAAGGAGCAGCUGAGAAAAUUCACAAACAAGACACAUUUGCUUGAUAAGAAAACACAACAACGCCUACCUGGGGCUGAUCGAUCUCCUCCUGGCCUACUGCUAUGAAGUGCGCGUUACGGAGUGCGAUAGAAUCGUGGAAUCUGCAUGGAACACAAGGAAGAAUUCCACGUGUAUAAAGGACAUUGUGGUUUCAUUUGGGAGACGAGUUUUAAGUUAUCGACUUUAUAGGCACUUCCAGCUUGUGGAAAAAGCACUUGCAGACAACGGAUUCACUGGGUAAAGCUGCUGUUCUGAAAUGCUAUAUUACAAGAGAAUGACCCAGCAUACAUCCUAAAUGACCUCUUCAUUACAGACUAUUGCAUAUGGAUUCCAGGUUAGAAACCUGCCCAAUAAAUAUCUGCCUGGCUUCCACUAUGAAGGGUUUCUUUGUAGAUGAGGAUGGAACACUGCUAGACGCUUAAUCUCAUACUUUUGGGUGAGACUUGAAGCUUCAGACCUGGUAGAGCACUUGCAAAUUUCUACCAACAGACAUCAAUACGUAAGUAGCCACCAGUCCGGAAUGAGAUGUUGCUCCCAGUGGACCUUAUUAGAACAUUUCUGUCACUGAGUUUCACACGCCGGUUGGACGCAGCAUUGAAUGACUGUCAUUUCUAGUGAAGGGUUUUGCAUGGCUAACUAGCUAGCUGAUCUCUCUUGCUUCCCUAAUUGAAUAAAUAAGGCAGCUUCCAUUU